This 2295-nucleotide ribosomal RNA is filed under the name Escherichia coli. RNAcentral describes it as "partial 23S ribosomal RNA". It matches the Rfam family "Bacterial large subunit ribosomal RNA", at positions 612 to 2887 of the family's 2925-position model. The record is from RNAcentral. Lineage: Bacteria; Pseudomonadati; Pseudomonadota; Gammaproteobacteria; Enterobacterales; Enterobacteriaceae.
AUAAUGGGUCAGCGACUUAUAUUCUGUAGCAAGGUUAACCGAAUAGGGGAGCCGAAGGGAAACCGAGUCUUAACUGGGCGUUAAGUUGCAGGGUAUAGACCCGAAACCCGGUGAUCUAGCCAUGGGCAGGUUGAAGGUUGGGUAACACUAACUGGAGGACCGAACCGACUAAUGUUGAAAAAUUAGCGGAUGACUUGUGGCUGGGGGUGAAAGGCCAAUCAAACCGGGAGAUAGCUGGUUCUCCCCGAAAGCUAUUUAGGUAGCGCCUCGUGAAUUCAUCUCCGGGGGUAGAGCACUGUUUCGGCAAGGGGGUCAUCCCGACUUACCAACCCGAUGCAAACUGCGAAUACCGGAGAAUGUUAUCACGGGAGACACACGGCGGGUGCUAACGUCCGUCGUGAAGAGGGAAACAACCCAGACCGCCAGCUAAGGUCCCAAAGUCAUGGUUAAGUGGGAAACGAUGUGGGAAGGCCCAGACAGCCAGGAUGUUGGCUUAGAAGCAGCCAUCAUUUAAAGAAAGCGUAAUAGCUCACUGGUCGAGUCGGCCUGCGCGGAAGAUGUAACGGGGCUAAACCAUGCACCGAAGCUGCGGCAGCGACGCUGAUGCGUUGUUGGGUAGGGGAGCGUUCUGUAAGCCUGCGAAGGUGUGCUGUGAGGCAUGCUGGAGGUAUCAGAAGUGCGAAUGCUGACAUAAGUAACGAUAAAGCGGGUGAAAAGCCCGCUCGCCGGAAGACCAAGGGUUCCUGUCCAACGUUAAUCGGGGCAGGGUGAGUCGACCCCUAAGGCGAGGCCGAAAGGCGUAGUCGAUGGGAAACAGGUUAAUAUUCCUGUACUUGGUGUUACUGCGAAGGGGGGACGGAGAAGGCUAUGUUGGCCGGGCGACGGUUGUCCCGGUUUAAGCGUGUAGGCUGGUUUUCCAGGCAAAUCCGGAAAAUCAAGGCUGAGGCGUGAUGACGAGGCACUACGGUGCUGAAGCAACAAAUGCCCUGCUUCCAGGAAAAGCCUCUAAGCAUCAGGUAACAUCAAAUCGUACCCCAAACCGACACAGGUGGUCAGGUAGAGAAUACCAAGGCGCUUGAGAGAACUCGGGUGAAGGAACUAGGCAAAAUGGUGCCGUAACUUCGGGAGAAGGCACGCUGAUAUGUAGGUGAAGUCCCUCGCGGAUGGAGCUGAAAUCAGUCGAAGAUACCAGCUGGCUGCAACUGUUUAUUAAAAACACAGCACUGUGCAAACACGAAAGUGGACGUAUACGGUGUGACGCCUGCCCGGUGCCGGAAGGUUAAUUGAUGGGGUUAGCGCAAGCGAAGCUCUUGAUCGAAGCCCCGGUAAACGGCGGCCGUAACUAUAACGGUCCUAAGGUAGCGAAAUUCCUUGUCGGGUAAGUUCCGACCUGCACGAAUGGCGUAAUGAUGGCCAGGCUGUCUCCACCCGAGACUCAGUGAAAUUGAACUCGCUGUGAAGAUGCAGUGUACCCGCGGCAAGACGGAAAGACCCCGUGAACCUUUACUAUAGCUUGACACUGAACAUUGAGCCUUGAUGUGUAGGAUAGGUGGGAGGCUUUGAAGUGUGGACGCCAGUCUGCAUGGAGCCGACCUUGAAAUACCACCCUUUAAUGUUUGAUGUUCUAACGUUGACCCGUAAUCCGGGUUGCGGACAGUGUCUGGUGGGUAGUUUGACUGGGGCGGUCUCCUCCUAAAGAGUAACGGAGGAGCACGAAGGUUGGCUAAUCCUGGUCGGACAUCAGGAGGUUAGUGCAAUGGCAUAAGCCAGCUUGACUGCGAGCGUGACGGCGCGAGCAGGUGCGAAAGCAGGUCAUAGUGAUCCGGUGGUUCUGAAUGGAAGGGCCAUCGCUCAACGGAUAAAAGGUACUCCGGGGAUAACAGGCUGAUACCGCCCAAGAGUUCAUAUCGACGGCGGUGUUUGGCACCUCGAUGUCGGCUCAUCACAUCCUGGGGCUGAAGUAGGUCCCAAGGGUAUGGCUGUUCGCCAUUUAAAGUGGUACGCGAGCUGGGUUUAGAACGUCGUGAGACAGUUCGGUCCCUAUCUGCCGUGGGCGCUGGAGAACUGAGGGGGGCUGCUCCUAGUACGAGAGGACCGGAGUGGACGCAUCACUGGUGUUCGGGUUGUCAUGCCAAUGGCACUGCCCGGUAGCUAAAUGCGGAAGAGAUAAGUGCUGAAAGCAUCUAAGCACGAAACUUGCCCCGAGAUGAGUUCUCCCUGACUCCUUGAGAGUCCUGAAGGAACGUUGAAGACGACGACGUUGAUAGGCCGGGUGUGUAAGCGCAGCGAUGCGUU